Oryctolagus cuniculus (rabbit) is the source of this 207-nucleotide small nuclear RNA. Its record names the gene U2. It matches the Rfam family "U2 spliceosomal RNA". Rfam says of the family: U2 is a small nuclear RNA (snRNA) component of the spliceosome (involved in pre-mRNA splicing). Complementary binding between U2 snRNA (in an area lying towards the 5' end but 3' to hairpin I) and the branchpoint sequence (BPS) of the intron results the bulging out of an unpaired adenosine, on the BPS, which initiates a nucleophilic attack at the intronic 5' splice site, thus starting the first of two transesterification reactions that mediate splicing. The record is from Ensembl. Lineage: Eukaryota; Metazoa; Chordata; Mammalia; Lagomorpha; Leporidae.
AUCGCUUCUCGGCCUUUUGGCUAAGAUCAAGUGCAGAAUCUCUGUUUCAGAGUCCCCCAGCCAUCACGGCGCCUGCGGUCCCUUUUUUUUUUUUUUUUUUGACAGGCAGAGUGGACAGUGAGAGAGACAGAGAGAAAGGUCUUCCUUUGCCGUUGGUUCACCCUCCAAUGGCCGCCGCGCUGAUCCGAUGGCAGGAGCCAGGUACUU